UGCCAGCCGCCGCGGUAAUACGAAGGUGGCGAGCGUUGUUCGGAAUCACUGGGCUUAAAGCGCAUGUAGGCGGCUAUGAAAGCGUCGGGUGAAAUCCCUCGGCUCAACCGAGGAACGGCUUGGCGAACUUCAUAGCUUGAGGCAGGUAGGGGUGUGUGGAACUCUUGGUGGAGCGGUGGAAUGCGUAGAUAUCAAGAGGAACGCCGGAGGCGAAAGCGACACACUGGGCCUGUCCUGACGCUGAGAUGUGAAGGCUAGGGUAGCGAACGGGAUUAGAUA
This 279-nucleotide ribosomal RNA is filed under the name uncultured bacterium. Its description in RNAcentral is "partial 16S ribosomal RNA". It matches the Rfam family "Bacterial small subunit ribosomal RNA", at positions 506 to 784 of the family's 1533-position model. The record is from RNAcentral.